Small nucleolar RNA from Magnolia sinica, 107 nucleotides. NCBI's taxonomy places the organism in Eukaryota, Viridiplantae, Streptophyta, Magnoliopsida, Magnoliales, Magnoliaceae. The record is from RefSeq and is a predicted model, not a curated record.
AAACCGUGUUAUGGGCAUAAACUAACGAGAUCCUUAAAACGCUCCCAACAUUAGAAGAAUGUCUCAGCUUCCUUUUGGGCAAAGUUCAUGAUCGACUUUUUGAUGGU